AACACUGAAAGCACAAUACAUCGCUCAAUCUUGGGAAUUCUGACCAGUUCAAUCAAGUGACAUUGCACACUGACCUUGAUGGCAACGGAAUUUAAUGGCCUACGCGAUCCUGAAAGAACCGGAGAAAAGUGCUGCUAUUUGGAGAUGCUGUUCUUCACGAGUUUCUGAGGUCACUGCCACUGUGUAAGCGGCCAUCAGACACAAUAAUGAGAAGCUCAUCAGAAAAUGGAAUAUAAUGUGUAAUUUGUAUUUGUGUAUAGAGGGUCACCAUUGGUCCAAUAAUUUAAUUCUUUAAUGAAAAA
Ctenopharyngodon idella (grass carp) is the source of this 302-nucleotide long non-coding RNA. RefSeq lists it as uncharacterized. The record is from RefSeq and is a predicted model, not a curated record. Lineage: Eukaryota; Metazoa; Chordata; Actinopteri; Cypriniformes; Xenocyprididae. The transcript is spliced from 2 exons.